UUCAGAUCGCAGUCUGCAACCCGACUGCGUGAAGUCGGAAUCGCUAGUAAUCGCGGAUCAGCGUGCCGCGGUGAAUACGUUCCCGGGCCUUGUACACACCGCCCGUCACACCAUGAGAGUCGGGAACACCCGAAGUCCGUAGCCUAACCGCAAGGGGGGCGCGGCCGAAGGUGGGUUCGAUAAUUGGGGUGAAGUCGUAACAAGGUAGC
This 209-nucleotide ribosomal RNA is filed under the name uncultured bacterium. Its description in RNAcentral is "partial 16S ribosomal RNA". It matches the Rfam family "Bacterial small subunit ribosomal RNA", at positions 1292 to 1500 of the family's 1533-position model. The record is from RNAcentral.